Molecule: long non-coding RNA, 1692 nt
Filed under: Homo sapiens (human)
Lineage: Eukaryota; Metazoa; Chordata; Mammalia; Primates; Hominidae
Description: HSALNT0247305
Source: RNAcentral
AGAGGGGAAGCCAGCUGGGCUUCUGGGUUGGGUGGGGACUUGGAGAACUUUUCUGUCUAGCUAAAGGAUUAUAAAUGCAGCAAUCAGCACUGUGUAAAAAUGCACCAAACAGCACUCUGUAAAAUGGACCAAUUGGCUCUCUGUAAAAUGAACCAAUCAGCAGGAUGUGGGCUGGGCCAAAUAAGGAAUAAAAGCUGGCCACCCCAGCCAACAGCGGCAACCCACUUGGGUCCCCUUCCCCACUGUGGAAGCUUUGUUCUUUCACUCUUCACGAUAAAUCUUGCUGCUGCUCACUCUUUGGGUCUGCAUUACCUUUAUGAGCUGUAACACUCACUGUGAGGGUCUGUGGCUUCAUUCCUGAAGUCCGCCAGACCAUGAACCCACUGGGAGGAAUAAACAACUCUGGACACACCACCUUUAAGAGCUGUAACACUCACUGCAAGGGUCUGUGGCUUCACUCCUGAAGUCAGCGAGACCAUGAACCCACCAGAAGGAAGGAACUCUGGACACAUCUGAACAUCUGAAGGAACAAACUUCAGACACACCAUCUUUAAGAACUGUAGCACUCACCGUGAAGGCCUGCAGCUUCAUUCUUGAAGUCAGUGAGACCAAGAACCUGCCAGAGGAAUACAUUCCAGACACAUUUUGGUGACCCAGAUGGGACACAUUUUGAUGACCCAGAUGGGACACAUUUUGGUGACCCAGAUGGGACUAUUGCCUAUCGCCAAGCAGUGAGUACCAUUGGGCCCCUUUCAUUACUAUUCUGUCCUAUUUUUCCUUAGAAUUUGGGGGCUAAAUACUGGGCACCUGUCGGCCAGUUAAAAGUGACUAGUGCAGCCAUGGGACUAAAGACACGGGUGUCAGGCUUUCUCGGAAAGGGCUCUCUAACAACCCCCAAUUCUUCAGAGUUGGGAGCGUUGGUUUUCCUGGAACCAGCUUCCGCUUUUCCUGUACUUCUGGGCUGAGCCGAGGGUUGACAGAGAGGAAAGCCAUUCAGCUCCGGGGUCCUGACAACAAGUUGGUUGACCUGAGGCCAUGAGCAGUACUCUCAAAGUCACGUUGCCCAAGCAAGACUCGCCCAUCUAUCCUAUCUAUCCUGACCCAUGCCCCCUGGGUCCUAAUGCCUGUCAGACAAACUUCCUCUCGCCUCUCUUCUCUGAGGCUAGUUCUGCUUCUAAAAACCACUCCCUGUCUCUGGUGCUUUUCUAGUUUUUCCUAUAAGAAUGAUUUCUAGUAUAAACUCCAGGACUCUAUUCCCUUCUUUAGGCACCCAGGCUCACCAAUCAGAAAGACAUAAUUUUUGCCCAAAGCCCAAUCAGGUGGGGAGACCAACUAUCCUUUUAGGAUCCCUCCUCAGACUAGCAGACCUAACAAAAGCUAUUCCUGAAGCUAGGAUAUGGGGAGCUUCAGAAAUGAUAUCCUUCCUAUUCAAGUGAGGACAAAAGGCAUCACUCCUCCAACCCUAGAGAUCCCUUCCUUCCCUCAGGGUAUGGCAAUCCACUUCAUUUUCGGGGCAUAACAUCUUUAUAGGAUGGAGUAAAGUCCCAAUACUAACAGGAGAAUGCUUAGAACUCUAACAGGAUUUUUAUAAUGUGUCGGUAAGGGCCACUAAAUCCAAUUUUUCUUGGUCCUCUUUGUGGUCUAGGAGGACAGGCAAGGGUGCAGGUUUUCGAGAAUGCAUCAGUAAGCGGC